This 468-nucleotide ribosomal RNA is filed under the name uncultured bacterium. RNAcentral describes it as "partial 16S ribosomal RNA". It matches the Rfam family "Bacterial small subunit ribosomal RNA", at positions 28 to 507 of the family's 1533-position model. The record is from RNAcentral.
GACGAACGCUGGCGGCGUGCUUAACACAUGCAAGUCGAACGGAAAGGCCCUGCUUUUGUGGGGUGCUCGAGUGGCGAACGGGUGAGUAACACGUGAGUAACCUGCCCUUGACUUUGGGAUAACUUCAGGAAACUGGGGCUAAUACCGGAUAGGAGCUCCUGCUGCAUGGUGGGGGUUGGAAAGUUUCGGCGGUUGGGGAUGGACUCGCGGCUUAUCAGCUUGUUGGUGGGGUAGUGGCUUACCAAGGCUUUGACGGGUAGCCGGCCUGAGAGGGUGACCGGCCACAUUGGGACUGAGAUACGGCGCAGACUCGUACGGGAGGCAGCAGUGGGGAAUAUUGCACAAUGGGCGGAAGCCUGAUGCAGCAACGCCGCGUGCGGGAUGACGGCCUUCGGGUUGUAAACCGCUUUCGCCUGGGACGAAGCGUGAGUGACGGUAAUGGGUAAAGAAGCACCGGCUAACUACGUG